GAGCUUGCUCCCGGAUGUUAGCGGCGGACGGGUGAGUAACACGUGGGUAACCUGCCUGUAAGACUGGGAUAACUCCGGGAAACCGGAGCUAAUACCGGAUAGUUCCUUGAACCGCAUGGUUCAAGGAUGAAAGACGGUUUCGGCUGUCACUUACAGAUGGACCCGCGGCGCAUUAGCUAGUUGGUGAGGUAACGGCUCACCAAGGCGACGAUGCGUAGCCGACCUGAGAGGGUGAUCGGCCACACUGGGACUGAGACACGGCCCAGACUCCUACGGGAGGCAGCAGUAGGGAAUCUUCCGCAAUGGACGAAAGUCUGACGGAGCAACGCCGCGUGAGUGAUGAAGGUUUUCGGAUCGUAAAGCUCUGUUGUUAGGGAAGAACAAGUGCAAGAGUAACUGCUUGCACCUUGACGGUACCUAACCAGAAAGCCACGGCUAACUACGUGCCAGCAGCCGCGGUAAUACGUAGGUGGCAAGCGUUGUCCGGAAUUAUUGGGCGUAAAGGGCUCGCAGGCGGUUUCUUAAGUCUGAUGUGAAAGCCCCCGGCUCAACCGGGGAGGGUCAUUGGAAACUGGGAAACUUGAGUGCAGAAGAGGAGAGUGGAAUUCCACGUGUAGCGGUGAAAUGCGUAGAGAUGUGGAGGAACACCAGUGGCGAAGGCGACUCUCUGGUCUGUAACUGACGCUGAGGAGCGAAAGCGUGGGGAGCGAACAGGAUUAGAUACCCUGGUAGUCCACGCCGUAAACGAUG
RNAcentral lists this ribosomal RNA (750 nucleotides) under Bacillus sp. N49_2. RNAcentral's name for it is "bacterial SSU rRNA". It matches the Rfam family "Bacterial small subunit ribosomal RNA", at positions 76 to 811 of the family's 1533-position model. Lineage: Bacteria; Bacillati; Bacillota; Bacilli; Caryophanales; Bacillaceae. The record is from RNAcentral.